GUUCCCGCGGGCUGGUAGGUCCUGGGAAGCAGAGGAGCUGGGCACUCCAGUGCCCGGGGGAGGCGCCCUCUACUCUCACACCUGACGAGGCAUACUGUGGUGAGAAUGGAAAAGACCGAUGAGCUCCUGUGUGACAUCUGUAUCCAGGGAAGGUCACACCAAACAACCAACCAGCAGAGCAGGUUCUGGCCCAGGGCACCCAGGAGCAGAAAACGAUAGUGAAAAAACUGAAAGCAAUCCUAUAGUCCUUCAGCCAGUGGUUGACUGUGAUACAGCC
Non-coding RNA from Heterocephalus glaber (naked mole-rat), 277 nucleotides. NCBI's taxonomy places the organism in Eukaryota, Metazoa, Chordata, Mammalia, Rodentia, Bathyergidae. The record is from RefSeq and is a predicted model, not a curated record.